RNAcentral lists this long non-coding RNA (693 nucleotides) under Vigna radiata. Its description in RNAcentral is "long non-coding RNA (VRAD_LNC014208)". The record is from RNAcentral. Lineage: Eukaryota; Viridiplantae; Streptophyta; Magnoliopsida; Fabales; Fabaceae.
AAGAGCACAUUCUCUUUGUCUCUCAUCAUGAUUCUUCCAUCAUGGACACUAAUAAGCAUCUUAGAAGUAGUCAUGAAAGGUCUUCCAAGAAUCAUUGGAAUCCUCUCUUCAUCUUCCAUGCCUAUGACUAGAAAGUCCACUAAAAAUUCCAACCACGCACAACCACAUUUUCCACCAUACCAAGUGGCUUUUUAAUGGAACCAUCCACCACCAUCACAGUGAGAUUAGAAGGUUUUAAUGUUAGGCCAACAAUCUUUGUCGAGAAGCGCUUGGGCAUCAUAUUAAUGUUGGAUCCAGAAUCUAUGAUUGCUCCUCCUACAUCAAAAUCAUUCACAAAACAUGAAAGUUUCAAACAACCUGGAUCUUUUACCUUACGUGGAUAAUUCUUCUUUGGAGGUUGAAUAUCAAAUUCCUGGUCAUCUUCAUCUUCAUCUAAAUCUAUUAUAUCUCCAAGAUAAUAUUUCAUCCUUGCAGGAAUCCGCUUAAUUACUGAAGGCACCACAAUCACUUGGUUAUAAGUUUCUCUGUUCUGCCCAUUGUGACUAAAUCUUGCUUCCUCUUCUUCCUCACCUUCACUGCUGCUUAUCUCAAUGACUUCUCUUUCCUCCUCUUCCUCAUCACUGCUUCCAAUCUCCACAACUUCCCUUUCAUCUUUUCUUUUACUCCUUGUGACAACAGCUUUGCAUUCCUCUU